UUUUUAUCUAGACAUAGGAUAGGUUGUGUGAAAAUAUUACUGAUGUUUAACGUUAAAAAUGGACCAAAAGAUUAAUGCUAAACAACAUUUGACAUGUUUGAACGAACAUAAAUAGAUUAUUUACUAGGUUUUUUUAGCUUUUCGGCGUGAUUUUACCAGCCCCACACCACGUUUUGUGGGAGCAUAAUGAACGCUAAGUACUUGGUGUUAUUUGGACAUAAAUUAUGAACUUUGUCAAAAGAAACCACAUUUGUUCCGGACCUGGAAUGCCUUCCGGACCUGGGAUCCUGCCUUCUGAUGGAGAUAAUCAAAGAUGCUCAAUCGAGAGCAUCCUGUCGGGCUGUAUCACCGUCUGGUACAGCAACUGCACCGCCCUCAACCGCAAGGCUCUCCAGUGGGUAGUGCGGUCUGCACAACGCAUCACCGAGG
RNAcentral lists this long non-coding RNA (429 nucleotides) under Salmo salar (Atlantic salmon). RNAcentral describes it as "lncRNA (ENSSSAG00000115382.1)". The record is from RNAcentral. Lineage: Eukaryota; Metazoa; Chordata; Actinopteri; Salmoniformes; Salmonidae.